This 501-nucleotide ribosomal RNA is filed under the name uncultured bacterium. RNAcentral describes it as "partial 16S ribosomal RNA". It matches the Rfam family "Bacterial small subunit ribosomal RNA", at positions 30 to 523 of the family's 1533-position model. The record is from RNAcentral.
AUUGAACGCUGGCGGCAGGCUUAACACAUGCAAGUCGAGCGGGGGAAGGUAGCUUGCUACCGGACCUAGCGGCGGACGGGUGAGUAAUGCUUAGGAAUCUGCCUAUUAGUGGGGGACAACAUCUCGAAAGGGAUGCUAAUACCGCAUACGUCCUACGGGAGAAAGCAGGGGAUCUUCGGACCUUGCGCUAAUAGAUGAGCCUAAGUCAGAUUAGCUAGUUGGUGGGGUAAAGGCCUACCAAGGCGACGAUCUGAAGCGGGUCUGAGAGGAUGAUCCGCCACACUGGGACUGAGACACGGCCCAGACUCCUACGGGAGGCAGCAGUGGGGAAUAUUGGACAAUGGGGGGAACCCUGAUCCAGCCAUGCCGCGUGUGUGAAGAAGGCCUUAUGGUUGCAGAGCACUUUAAGCGAGGAGGAGGCUACUUUAGUUAAUACCUAGAGAUAGUGGACGUUACUCGCAGAAUAAGCACCGGCUAACUCUGUGCCAGCCGCCGCUGUAA